GACGAACGCUGGCGGCGUGCUUUACACAUGCAAGUCGAACGGUGAAGGUGGAGCUUGCUCCGCCGGAUCAGUGGCGAACGGGUGAGUAACACGUGGGCAACCUGCCCCUAACUUUGGGAUAACUACUCGAAAGAUUAGCUAAUACCGGAUAUGAAGUCUGUAGGCAUCUAUGGAUUUGGAAAUGUUUUCGGUUAGGGAUGGGCCCGCGGCCUAGCAGCUUGUUGGGGGGGUAGUGGCUCACCAAGGCGACGACGGGUAGCCGGCCUGAGAGGGCGACCGGCCACACUGGGACUGAGACACGGCCCAGACUCCUACGGGAGGCAGCAGUGGGGAAUAUUGCGCAAUGGGCGAAAGCCUGACGCAGCAACGCCGCGUGCGGGAUGAAGGCCUUCGGGUUGUAAACCGCUUUCAGCAGGGAAGAAGCGAAAGUGACGGUACCUGCAGAAGAAGCACCGGCUAACUACGUGCCAGCAGCCGCCGUAA
Molecule: ribosomal RNA, 483 nt
Filed under: uncultured bacterium
Lineage: Bacteria
Description: partial 16S ribosomal RNA
Rfam family: Bacterial small subunit ribosomal RNA
Source: RNAcentral